GACGAACGCUGGCGGCGUGCUUAACACAUGCAAGUCGAACGGAAAGGCCUGCUUUCCCUUGUGGUUUGCGGGUACUCGAGUGGCGAACUGAUGCGUAACACGUGAGUGAUCUGCCCCCAACUUGGGUAUAAGCCUGGGAAACUGUGUCUAAUUCCCGAUAGUACUGCAGGGUGUUGCCUUUGGUGGAAAACGUUUUUCUCGUGGUUGUGGAUGAGCUCGCGGCCAAUCAGCUUGUUGGAGGGGUAAUGUCCUACCCAGGAGGCCACGGGUAGCCGGCCUGGGAGGGUGGACGGCGACAUUGGGAAUGAGACACGGCCCAGAGGGCGACGGGAGGAAGGAGUGGGGGAUAAUGCAGGCUGGGCGGAAGGCUGAUGGAGGGACGCGGCGUGGGGGAUGGCGGCUUGCGGGUUGUAAACGUCUUUCGAGCGCGAGGAAGACACCUGGUUGGAAGGGUGGUGACGGUAGUGGUAGAAGAAGCACCGGCUAACUACGUG
Molecule: ribosomal RNA, 494 nt
Filed under: uncultured bacterium
Lineage: Bacteria
Description: partial 16S ribosomal RNA
Rfam family: Bacterial small subunit ribosomal RNA
Source: RNAcentral